UUCAGGGACAAACUCAUCCAUCAUUCCAGGUCCAGGGGCUGACUCACCAGUAUUGCCCAUAUUUUCAGUAAGCUCGGGAGCUGGUUCCACAUCUCCAACAACACUAUCAGUUUUAUGCUCAGAAACAUCAACUCCAUGAAUUUCGGCUUCAUGACUAGCACCCAUACCAACACUCCCUCCACUAACUCCCAGGCUUAGUUGGUCCCUAGCAAAAGCAGGAGCAGUUUCUGCAUUGAGGACUUCCUCCCCUCCAUUCAUACUACUACCUCCUAUCUCCCUUGCAUUACUUUCAGCAGCAGGCUGUACAAAACUGCUUUGCGGUGCUUGGUUGCUAUAGUUAAGAUCCAAUGCCUCACUCAUUCCACCACUCCUGACAGCACUAGACGGCUUGUGAACGUCAUCAACAUCACAUGGAUGGUAUUCAACACUCUCUGUUGAAUUUUCCUCUGCACUGUGGACUGUGUCCAUCGCAAUAACAGAAGAUGCCCUCAUCGACGCAGAGGGGUUAUGAAGGGCAGAUGGACCUUCAGCUUUAUAUGUAUCAAAUUUAUUGACAUCUAUAUCCAGGUCAAAACUUAAAUUUCUGCUGGGACCAGCUCCAGAAGAAGAUGGUUGAUUCACAUCGAAGAGAUUGAAACCACGAGGCCUUUUGUUGCUCCGAAUAUCUGAAUCUUGUGCGCCAUCAUCAACUUCAUCACCGUCACGGUCAAUAACAGUUCCUUCUAUGCUGUCAGCAGGAUGAAGCCUAUUUAGCGGCUUAUCAGCUGUGCUCCCACCUUCCUCCAGAUUGCGCUUUCUUGAACUAGGACCCCUAGACUCAAAUGAGGCUGCAAAGCCACCUAGCUCACUUCCAGUAGGCUGCCCAAUCAUCAGAUCUCUUCCCAUCCCUCCAUCAUUGAAAUGAUCAUGCAUAGAGGGCAUCACAGAAUGCGUAGAUGGCAAACCACCUGCCAUUGUAAGAUUUAGGUCAACCUGAGCAUUUGACAGUGAUUUUCCCUCAUCGGUACCUGCCUCACCACGUCCUUCAACAUUCUCUCUUUCUGUUCCUUCAGCAACCCAUCCAUUGAUGCCACUUGUAGCACUAAUUCCACGUGUCAGCACCCCCUUCCGCAUAUCAGGUGCGUCAAUAUUAUUGAUACUAAGAUGAGAAGGACGAGGCACCGAUCUGAAAUCCCAUAUUCUCACUGUUGCUCCACAUAAGCUGCAAUCAAGCAAAGGUGACCUCAUGCUGCAUCCAGAGUCUUUUACAUGAAUUUUUCCUUUGCCCUUAUCUUUCUUAACUGAUGCAGAGUACGAAUUUUGCUUAUGCUCGGGUAAACGGGAAUGGAUCUGAUCUGGAUCAGCUGAGGCUGUAUGUUUGGCAGAACGGGUUGAAUUUUCUUCCCAGUCCUGUACAUUUGGAAGCCAUCUAGGUUCCCAUCCACAAAGGCUUAUAAGUUUCUAUUUACUUGAGAGUAGCUACAGGACUCAUCUUGAUGAUUGAUAUCAAUUCCUGUUGUGCUGUCUGUUUUGUAACCCAGCUCUCCAGAUAAAAUAGUGAUUGCUUGGGAUAAGACACGGUCAAUCUGAGGACUCCUUGUGAGCUUCAUACUCUCUAUUGCAGAUUUGGCAAUAACAGGAAGAGAUAUAAACUGCAAAAGUCCAUCACAGCGAUCUUUGAAACCACCAACAAGAGCUGAUGGGGUAAGGUGGAAUUGGACUAGGCUAUCAGCACAGCUAUUUCCUCUCCAGGGACAAUCACCCAGGUGCGAUGCAUCAAGUUAUCUGCGGUAAAAUACAUUCACUCAGGACAUACCUUCAGCUGGGGACCAAGAUGUCAAUGCCGUAAAUAUAAGAUGUGCUCCACAUGACUCGCAUGCAAUUUUGUCCAUUUCAAUGUUCACCCAGCCUCUUCGAGCACAAGCCAAGAAAUGACCUUUGGCUUAGAAGCCCAUGUUGAAGACUUGAAUGUGGCCAGUCGCCGAAGCAAGUCUCCUCGUUCCCAUGGUCUACAAGAUGGUUGAGAGAAAUCCACGGCAGCUCCAGCAGCAUUAGUACUAAGAGAAGGCCGAGGAGCAUGUGGAGCAAUCUGGGAUGAUGAUUCCACUUUGGAUAUUGGCUCACCACCUAACCAAUCUAUGCUAGCUGCAUUUGUUUGUGCAGGUGGUGAUGAUGCACCAGCCGAACUGUUACCUGGCGACGGGGGUGGCGGGCGGCGAGGCCGAGCGCGGCGGCGGGUCGGGCGGCGCCGCCGACGAGCUCCGCACCUCCUCGCGCAU
RNAcentral lists this small RNA (2258 nucleotides) under Oryza sativa Japonica Group (Japanese rice). RNAcentral describes it as "sRNA Os07g0150600". The record is from RNAcentral. Lineage: Eukaryota; Viridiplantae; Streptophyta; Magnoliopsida; Poales; Poaceae.